GAGGGGCGCCCGGCGCCGUGGGCAGCACGGUGUCCAUGCGUCGCCAUCUCCGCUUUGUUGGCCCCCGAAGGUUGGAAAGCGCUGAGGCCGAGGAGGAUAACGAGGUAGGGUGGCUUCCGAGCCGGCAGGAAGGGCACCCGCAAAACCCCAUCCUCCCCGACGCGCCCUGGCUCCCAACUUCAGCCCCAGGCGGCAGCGCGGCUCCUCAUGGCCCCGGCGGCCUCCUUCCCAUCACCCUUAGUAUAAAACCAGAACGGCUCCUCCCGUCCCACGGCUGAGCUGUCCUCCAGCUCGGGCUCCGCCCCGCGCCCCAGNNNNNNNNNNNNNNNNNNNNNNNNNNNNNNNNNNNNNNNNNNNNNNNNNNNNNNNUGCCCGCCUGCCCCCCAGCCUUGGCCACGCGGUCGCUGGGUCAAGCCCGAGCCCUGCAAGGACAUCACCAUGGCCUCUCCCCGGCUCGCCCCGGGCCUGCGGUCCGCUGACUGAGGCCCGUUUCCCACCCUUUCCAACGCUCCGUCUCCUGCCCGACACAGCUCCUGUCCAGGCCGGCUCUCCGCACCUGGGCGUGAGGUUCUGUAUUGGGGACCAGCCAAGCUAUGCAUGGAUUGGUGGGGGCCCGACUCCAGGCCCCCGCCGUCACGGUCACGGGGCCGACUUCAGCUGGCUUCAGGAAUAGGGAACUUUUCACAGAAGGCUGCAGGCUUCCCCGCUGGGGGGUACGAGAUCCCCUAACACUGGAGCUCCUGGGGCAAGGAAAAGCACGGGACCCCUCCCCUGGCUGCGCCUCUGCCCUGGAGAAGCCCAGCGGGGACACGCGGCGACCAAGCCCCGUCCACUGUGCGUUCGUCCUGCUUCAUUUCCUCCGAGGGCCUCGAGGGCCUCGGCUGGCCGGAGGUAGAAGCUUCUUCACGCUGUCUGCCGGAGACUCUGAGGCCUGCGCUAGGCAAGGCGCAGCUGAGCGGGAUUUCCGGUCCUGGGCCUGGUGCUGGCAGGAUCACGAGUGCUCAUCACAGGCGCGGCCCCGGGUUCCUCCUGCGCCUGGAGAACAGACUGGCGUUUCCAUGGAGACGGGGGAACGAGUUCGAACCAAUUUAUCACCAACUUUGGACUCCAAAAAAAAGAAAUCUACUCGUUCUCAUUUGCCAAGCCUCAAGUCAAAUACGAGUUUUUUUUUUUUUU
RNAcentral lists this long non-coding RNA (1176 nucleotides) under Fukomys damarensis (Damara mole-rat). RNAcentral's name for it is "lncRNA (ENSFDAG00000031405.1)". The record is from RNAcentral. Lineage: Eukaryota; Metazoa; Chordata; Mammalia; Rodentia; Bathyergidae.